Molecule: ribosomal RNA, 300 nt
Filed under: uncultured Dietzia sp.
Lineage: Bacteria; Bacillati; Actinomycetota; Actinomycetes; Mycobacteriales; Dietziaceae
Description: partial 16S ribosomal RNA
Rfam family: Bacterial small subunit ribosomal RNA (bases 55-300)
Source: RNAcentral
GGUAAUGCUGGUGGAGGGGGUGUGGUAAGACGGGGGGGGGGGGAGGUAAGUGUGUUUAGUUGGGGGAAAGUGUGCGUAGGCGUCGUAUUAAGUCGGUUGUGAAAUCCCUGAGGUUAACUUAGGAAGUGCAUUCGAUACUGGUCAGCUAGAGUAUGGGAGAGGAUGGUAGAAUUCCAGGUGUAGCGGUGAAAUGCGUAGAGAUCUGGAGGAAUACCGAUGGCGAAGGCAGCCAUCUGGCCUAAUACUGACGCUGAGGUACGAAAGCAUGGGGAGCAAACAGGAUUAGAUACCCUGGUAGUC